RNAcentral lists this ribosomal RNA (1368 nucleotides) under metagenome. Its description in RNAcentral is "bacterial SSU rRNA". It matches the Rfam family "Archaeal small subunit ribosomal RNA". The record is from RNAcentral.
GGUAUUCGCUUAAGCCAUGCGAGUCGAGAGGUGUAAGACCUCGGCGCACCGCUCAGUAACACGCGGAUAACCUGCCCUAAGGUGGAGGAUAAUCUCGGGAAACUGAGAAUAAUACUCCAUAGGCAUAAGAUGCUGGAAUGCUUUUAUGCUUAAAUCCACGGAGCCUUAGGAUGGGUCUGCGGCCCAUUAGGUUGUAGUGGGGGUAACGGCCCCACUAGCCAGCGAUGGGUACGGGUGUUGGGAGACAUCACCCGGAGAUGGAUUCUGAGACAUGAAUCCAGGUCCUACGGGAUGCAGCAAGCGCAAAACCUUCGCAAUGUAGGAAACUACGACGGGGGAAUACCAAGUGCUAGCACUUUGUGUUAGCUGUUUUCUUGUCUAAAAGACAAGGAGAGUAAAGGGCGGGUAAGAUCGGGUGCCAGCCGCCGCGGUAAUACCCGCGCCCUGAGUGGUGCUCGUUAUUAUUGGGUCUAAAACAUCCGUAGCCGGUUCUGUAAAUGCCCAGGUAAAUCGACAGGCUCAACUUGUCGAAUUCUGGGUAGACUGCAGGACUUGGGAUCGGGAGAGGUCAGAGGUACUUCGGGGGUAGGGGUAAAAUCCUGUAAUCCUUGAAGGACCACCGGUGGCGAAGGCGUCUGACUAGAACGACUCCGACGGUGAGGGAUGAAGCCCUGGGGCGCAAACGGGAUUAGAUACCCCGGUAGUCCAGGGUGUAAACGCUGUGGGUUUUGUGUUGGAUUUCCUACGAGGAGAUUCAGUGCCGGAGAGAAGUUGUUAAGCCCACUACCUGGGGAGUACGGUCGCAAGACUGAAACUUAAAGGAAUUGGCGGGGGAGUACCGCAACGGGAGUAGCGUGCGGUUUAAUUGGAUUCAACGCCGUAAACCUCACCGGGGGAGACCAUCAUAUGUGGGUCAAGCUGAAGACUUUACCCGAACAAGAGAUGGAGAGGUGGUGCAUGGCCGUCGUCAGUUCGUACCGUGAGGCGUUCUGUUAAGUCAGAUAACGAACGAGACCCUUGCCCUUAGUUGCUACCUGUAAGUUCGCUUGCAGGGCACACUAGGGGGACCGCUGGCGCUAAGUCAGAGGAAGGAGAGGGCGACGGUAGGUCAGUAUGCCCUGAUCCCUCGGGCUACACGCGCGCUACAAAGGAUGGGACAAUAGGUUCCGACGCCGAAAGGCGAAGGCGAUCCCGAAACCCAUCCGUAGUUCGGAUUGGGGGUUGAAACUCACCCCCAUGAAGCUGGAUUCCGUAGUAAUCGCAAGUCAACACCUUGCGGUGAAUAUGCCCCUUCUCCUUGCACACACCGCCCGUCAACCCAUGCGAGUUGGGUUAAAGUGAAGGCAUACGUUAUGGUAUGCUUGAACU